GUCGCGCGCGGGGGCGAGCAUGAUGUCGAGGGUUGCUAGGGCAACCGUGGCUGCCGGCUAAUCUCGCGCCAGCUGACGAGCCGGCACCUAGACGAGACGAGACAGAGACGACAAUGGCGGCUUCUUUGGUUGUGUUGCUGGCGAGUGCCGAAAGACAACGACGCGACGAGAGGCAACGACGCGACGCGUUCGGCAUGGCCGAAGAAGAGUUUCGAAGGCAUUUUAGGCUCUCCAAAGACAUAGUGUGACGUCUUUGCGAUGAGCUGGAAGGACAUCUCGAACCUCAAAGAUUUCGUGGCGUCGACACUACGAUGAAAGUGCUGUGCGCGCUGCGGUUUUUUGCCACCGGGAGCUUUCAACAGUCCGUCGGGAAUGAAUAAGCGAUUGCACUGUCGCAGCCUUCGGUCAGCCGGAUCAUUACAGCCGUCGCCAAGGCCAUUACGGUUGUGGGCAAAGAAAAAGGAUGGGUUAGAUUCCCAUCCACGGUGCAACAGAAAGCCGCCGUCAAGGAAGGCUUUCUUAGCCAUGGAAAAAUUCCAGGAGUUGUAGAAUGUGUGGACGGGAGUCUAAUAGCCAUCGUUCGCCCUAAGAAACUCGGCCCUGGCGAAACGGAAUCGUACUGGAGCCGUAAAGGGUAUUAGGCCCUCAACUGCAUGGUCGUGUGUGAUGCAAAGCUGAAUAUCCUGGCAAUUGACCCACGGUUUCCGGGAUCGUGCCACGAUUCUUUCGUUUGGAGGCAUUCUGCAUUUCGCCGCCGCCUCACUCGUGGCCUGUUACUUCAUGGAGAAGUCUUGCUUGCGACAUGUGGUGCUGGAGUGAUUAGAAAGGAUCAAACGGGUAGCUCGAGUUCGGGUACCUUCACGAGAAGAGGUACGAAAAGUAGAGUAAGGAUCCCAGAUACUGGCAGCAUAUUCGAGAGUAGACCUUAGAAGUGUUUUAUAAAAUAACACUUCUGAAGAGAGAAGAGCUAAUUAGUUUUAGUGGAGGAUGUACAUUUAGGGAGAAGCAAAUGGGAUGAGCGGAGCAGAAAACCACGAGUAUGAAAUAAAUAUUACAUGUCCAACUUAACCCGAGAAUGAUAUUUGCAGCCAAGACAACAGGUGAAAUUGGGCUUUUCUUUAAAAUGAGUCGAACUUUCUUUACAACUUUCUGGGAAGGUCAGUGUUCGAUAGAUAUUGCAACAAUAAAUCCAAGACCCGCUGCUGUUGUAAAAGGGCCCUGGCGUAGACUGUGUUCUUGCAUUGUGCCUUAAUGUAUCCACGUUCGUUCACUGACGUGCAACACUUUACAGGGGACUCUGGGUACCCGCUAGAGCCAUAGAUCAUGACUCCUGUGCCUGGUCACCCAAAUCGCCUCACGGCAGAGGGGCGCUAUAAUGAGGCACACGCAUCAAUGUGAAAUGCCGUUGAGCGGUGCAUAGGAGUCGUCAAGAGCCGCUUCCGAUGCCUGCAGAGGUAUCGGGUGCUCCACUACUCGCCUCAGAAAGCAGCCACUAUUGUUGCAGCUUGUGCAGCGCUGCAUAACCUCUGCCUUGCAGCAGGCGUGCCUCUGCCAGACGACCCAGAUGACGACGGUGCACAUGACGACAGCGCACAGGAGCCAGCCCAGGCACAAGUGCCGCUUCAAGUACAGGUGCCACCGCAGGCGCACCCUGUACAGCCUUCUCGAGCUUUGUUUCAAAGAGGCCGUGCGGUGCGUGAAUCCAUAGUUGGUGUGUUUCGGCUGCCCAGAAAUUUGCGCAUUGCCUACCUGCAAAGUGUGCGCCGGCGCAUUCGCUGGCAAAUGAGGCGGAGACAUGUGCUGGUGUAACAUGUUUUAUUUUUAUUUUCAUGAAAGUAAAUAGGCCGUGCACUUCAACAUAACACAUUGCGUGUGCUCACAUGUGGCUAAUCAUAGUAUGCUGCAUACUGCAGUAGUGAAAAGCACAUGAUUUGUCUAUGUUGAGCAUGACAGAUACACAUGCAGUGACAAAUAACCAUGUGCCAUUAUGUUACUCCUUAGCUUUGUUCACUGUGCUUUUGAAUAUUGUCUCGCCAGGUAAUUUUCUUUAAAUAAAGGUUAUUUCCAAGGUGAAUGGCAACCAAUCUUGCAUUGUUGAAUAUUGCUUUGCAAUGCCUAUUUUACUGUGCAGUAUGCAUUGUUCCAAAGCUGAAGAUGUCUGUUCAUGUGUGACACGCAAGAGCAGCAUGAGUUACACAGCAACUGAAAUGUCGUUCAGCAAUCUGUAUAGCACAUAUUGAAACGUAUAGCAACAAACGAGACAUGUCAAGCACUUAUUGGAGCAGGAUUUCUUUAAAUAGCAGACACUCAUGCUUACUACUGCUUUGUUUAAACUCAAGAGUUGCUUCAACAUUGCAUUUCUUGCACACAUGAUUUCACAUAAUGCUCGUAAUUGCUGCUUAACAGGGUGCAA
Molecule: non-coding RNA, 2413 nt
Organism: Dermacentor andersoni
Lineage: Eukaryota; Metazoa; Arthropoda; Arachnida; Ixodida; Ixodidae
Source: RefSeq, a predicted model, not a curated record